AAGUCGUAACAAGGUUUCCGUAGGUGAACCUGCGGAAGGAUCAUUAACACUUUGUUAACCCAAUAUCAACCAAAUGUGAACUGUAACGUCCCUAUUCACUGUUGUAAGAUACUUCGGUGUAUUAUAGCAGUGCGAUAGACAAUACCCUCUUAGUAGUUGUCACAAACUAAGGCCUCCAUACCUCUCCUUUGUGAUGAUGAACUAUUAACCAAUUUUAACCCUAAAACAUACGAAUUGUCUAAUCUUCAUGAACUUAAUGACUGCUUCGGUGGUUAAUAAGAUUUACGAAAUAUUGAACAACUCUUAGCAAUGGAUAUCUUGGGUCAU
Molecule: unclassified non-coding RNA, 327 nt
Filed under: fungal sp.
Lineage: Eukaryota; Fungi
Description: partial internal transcribed spacer region
Rfam family: Eukaryotic small subunit ribosomal RNA (bases 1-46)
Source: RNAcentral